RNAcentral lists this ribosomal RNA (1284 nucleotides) under Bacteroides fragilis. Its description in RNAcentral is "bacterial SSU rRNA". It matches the Rfam family "Bacterial small subunit ribosomal RNA", at positions 1 to 1279 of the family's 1533-position model. Lineage: Bacteria; Pseudomonadati; Bacteroidota; Bacteroidia; Bacteroidales; Bacteroidaceae. The record is from RNAcentral.
ACAAUGAAGAGUUUGAUCCUGGCUCAGGAUGAACGCUAGCUACAGGCUUAACACAUGCAAGUCGAGGGGCAUCAGGAAGAAAGCUUGCUUUCUUUGCUGGCGACCGGCGCACGGGUGAGUAACACGUAUCCAACCUGCCCUUUACUCGGGGAUAGCCUUUCGAAAGAAAGAUUAAUACCCGAUAGCAUAAUGAUUCCGCAUGGUUUCAUUAUUAAAGGAUUCCGGUAAAGGAUGGGGAUGCGUUCCAUUAGGUUGUUGGUGAGGUAACGGCCCACCAAGCCUUCGAUGGAUAGGGGUUCUGAGAGGAAGGUCCCCCACAUUGGAACUGAGACACGGUCCAAACUCCUACGGGAGGCAGCAGUGAGGAAUAUUGGUCAAUGGGCGCUAGCCUGAACCAGCCAAGUAGCGUGAAGGAUGAAGGCUCUAUGGGUCGUAAACUUCUUUUAUAUAAGAAUAAAGUGCAGUAUGUAUACUGUUUUGUAUGUAUUAUAUGAAUAAGGAUCGGCUAACUCCGUGCCAGCAGCCGCGGUAAUACGGAGGAUCCGAGCGUUAUCCGGAUUUAUUGGGUUUAAAGGGAGCGUAGGUGGACUGGUAAGUCAGUUGUGAAAGUUUGCGGCUCAACCGUAAAAUUGCAGUUGAUACUGUCAGUCUUGAGUACAGUAGAGGUGGGCGGAAUUCGUGGUGUAGCGGUGAAAUGCUUAGAUAUCACGAAGAACUCCGAUUGCGAAGGCAGCUCACUGGACUGCAACUGACACUGAUGCUCGAAAGUGUGGGUAUCAAACAGGAUUAGAUACCCUGGUAGUCCACACAGUAAACGAUGAAUACUCGCUGUUUGCGAUAUACAGUAAGCGGCCAAGCGAAAGCAUUAAGUAUUCCACCUGGGGAGUACGCCGGCAACGGUGAAACUCAAAGGAAUUGACGGGGGCCCGCACAAGCGGAGGAACAUGUGGUUUAAUUCGAUGAUACGCGAGGAACCUUACCCGGGCUUAAAUUGCAGUGGAAUGAUGUGGAAACAUGUCAGUGAGCAAUCACCGCUGUGAAGGUGCUGCAUGGUUGUCGUCAGCUCGUGCCGUGAGGUGUCGGCUUAAGUGCCAUAACGAGCGCAACCCUUAUCUUUAGUUACUAACAGGUCAUGCUGAGGACUCUGGAGAGACUGCCGUCGUAAGAUGUGAGGAAGGUGGGGAUGACGUCAAAUCAGCACGGCCCUUACGUCCGGGGCUACACACGUGUUACAAUGGGGGGUACAGAAGGCAGCUAGCGGGUGACCGUAUGCUAAUCCCAAAA